Non-coding RNA from Albula glossodonta (roundjaw bonefish), 69 nucleotides. NCBI's taxonomy places the organism in Eukaryota, Metazoa, Chordata, Actinopteri, Albuliformes, Albulidae. The record is from the annotation of a GenBank genome assembly.
GCCUUUAGUCUAGUGGUUAAGAUACAUGCCUGUGACCCAUGAGGUUGGUGGUUCAACCCCAGUCCCGCA